UAUUCUGCCCCAUGGGGAAGGAUGAGAAGCUUCGACUAAGGUUCGACUCGAGCGCCAGCGAGAGAACGUUGCCAC
This 75-nucleotide small RNA is filed under the name Klebsiella pneumoniae. Its description in RNAcentral is "partial RtT sRNA". It matches the Rfam family "RtT RNA", at positions 1 to 74 of the family's 130-position model. From Rfam's summary of the family: This family represents a bacterial cis-regulatory element known as RtT RNA. The record is from RNAcentral. RNAcentral also lists the same sequence under 1 other name. Lineage: Bacteria; Pseudomonadati; Pseudomonadota; Gammaproteobacteria; Enterobacterales; Enterobacteriaceae.